GGUGAACGCCGGCGGUAUGCCUAAAACAUGCAAGUCGCGCGGAUGCAGUAAUGUAUUAGCGGCGGACGGGUGAGUAACACGUAGGUGACCUGCCCUAAAGUCUGGGACAACUAGGAAAAAUCUUAUCUAAUUCUGGAUGUGAACACUGAUUGUGGUUGGUGUUUAAAGCUACGGCGCUUUGGGAUGGGCCUGCGGUGCAUCAGGUAGUUGGUGGGGUAAAGGCUCACCAAGCCGACGACGCAUAACUGGUCUGAGAGGACGAUCAGUCACAGGAGCACUGAGACACGGGCUCCUCUUCUACGGAAGGCAGCAGUUAGGAAUCUUCCCCAAUGGGCGAAAGCCUGAGGGAGCGAUACCGCUUGAAGGACGACCCCCCUCGGGGUGUAAACUUCUGAACUCAGGACGAUGAUGACGGUACCC
RNAcentral lists this ribosomal RNA (420 nucleotides) under uncultured bacterium. Its description in RNAcentral is "bacterial SSU rRNA". It matches the Rfam family "Bacterial small subunit ribosomal RNA", at positions 28 to 480 of the family's 1533-position model. The record is from RNAcentral.